Molecule: ribosomal RNA, 1565 nt
Filed under: Allocricetulus eversmanni (Eversmann's hamster)
Lineage: Eukaryota; Metazoa; Chordata; Mammalia; Rodentia; Cricetidae
Description: 16S ribosomal RNA
Rfam family: Bacterial large subunit ribosomal RNA
Source: RNAcentral
UCUAGCCCUAACCUCUAUCAACUUAACAAUCACAGCCUACUCAACUAAAACAUUCACAAAGUAAGUCAAGUAUUGGAGAAAGAAACAUUAUUUAGGAGCUAUAGAGAGAGUACCGUAAGGGAAAGAUGAAAGAAAAUUUAAAAGUGAAAAAAAGCAAAGAUUAAACCUUUUACCUUUUGCAUAAUGAGCUAACUAGAAUACCCCUAACUAAGAGAACUAUAGCUAGGAACCCCGAAACCAAGCGAGCUACCUAAGAGCAAUUUAAAGAAUGCACCCAUCUAUGUAGCAAAAUAGUGGGAAGACUUUUAGGUAGAGGUGAAAAGCCUAUCGAGCUUGGUGAUAGCUGGUUACCCAAUAAAGAACCUUAGUUCUACUUUAAUCUUACCUCAAGAAAUUAUAGUCCUAAUGCAAGAUUAAAAUAUAGCCUAAAGAGGGACAGCCCUUUAGGAACGGAUACAACCCUUUAGCAGAGAGUAAGGCAUUUUUCCCCGGGACCAUAGUUGGCCUAAAAGCAGCCACCAAUAAAGAAAGCGUUCAAGCUCAACACCCACAGCAACUCUAAUUUCUCUAGUCUUACCUACCUCCUGCAAUCAUAAUUGGGUUAAUCUAUUACUAUAUAGAUGAGAUACUGUUAGUAUGAGUAACAAGAAUAACAUUCUCCCAGCACAGGCCUAUAACAACCCGGAUGACCAUUGUUAGUUAACACCCACACAAGUGCAUUAACCCCCUAUAAACUCACUUGCCACCUAAUGUUAGUCCAACACAGGAGUGCUUAAGGGAAAGAUUAAAAGAAAUAAAAGGAACUCGGCAAACAUGAAUCCCGCCUGUUUACCAAAAACAUAACCUCUAGCAUGAUAAGUAUUAGAGGCAACGCCUGCCCAGUGACAAGACUGUUCAACGGCCGCGGUAUCCUGACCGUGCAAAGGUAGCAUAAUCACUUGUUCUUUAAUUAAGGACUAGAAUGAAUGGCUAAACGAGGGUUCAACUGUCUCUUAUUUCUAAUCAGUGAAAUUGACCUUCCCGUGAAGAGGCGGGGAUAAUCCAGCAAGACGAGAAGACCCUAUGGAGCUUUAAUCUCAUCUCCUAGCUUAACUAACAAAUCAACCUACUGGCCUAAAACACACAAGCAUAGGACAUAGAUUUUGGUUGGGGUGACCUCGGAGUAUAGAUUACCCUCCGAAUGAUUUUAGCCAAGGCCUACAAGCCAAAGCAUUUACUAUCUUAUUGAUCCAAGCACACUUGAUCAACGGACCAAGUUACCCUAGGGAUAACAGCGCAAUCCUAUUUGAGAGUCCAUAUCGACAAUUAGGGUUUACGACCUCGAUGUUGGAUCAGGACAUCCCAAUGGUGUAGAAGCUAUUAAAGGUUCGUUUGUUCAACGAUUAAAGUCCUACGUGAUCUGAGUUCAGACCGGAGUAAUCCAGGUCGGUUUCUAUCUGUUUACAAUUUCUCCCAGUACGAAAGGACAAGAGAAAUGGAGCCACCUCAUCAAGAGCGCUCCCGAGUAACUCAUGAGUACAUCUUAAUGAGGCUCCCCUGUACCAACUCAACCCUAGAUAAGGGUU